Non-coding RNA from Danionella cerebrum, 72 nucleotides. NCBI's taxonomy places the organism in Eukaryota, Metazoa, Chordata, Actinopteri, Cypriniformes, Danionidae. The record is from the annotation of a GenBank genome assembly.
UCCUUGUUAGUAUAGUGGACAGUAUCUCCGCCUGUCACGCGGAAGACCGGGGUUUGAUUCCCCAACAGCGAG